Molecule: long non-coding RNA, 979 nt
Organism: Canis lupus familiaris (dog)
Lineage: Eukaryota; Metazoa; Chordata; Mammalia; Carnivora; Canidae
Exons: 2
Source: RefSeq, a predicted model, not a curated record
AUCGCCUUCACCUCCAACCCAGUUACGGUCCAUCCUGGGGCCAGAUGUCGCCCAAAAGGACCACAGCAAAGGGGGGCCAAGUGAGCGACAAAGUGUAGAGACUUCUGAGAUUGGCUCAGGGUUGGCACUUACGGAACAAUAAACCGAGCCUUUGAAGAGGCUAAACAAAGGAACCAUUUGUCUACUCCAGCAGCCUGACAAAGGGAGGCAAGCUCUCGGAGGACCAGGAAUAAAAGAAAGCCAAGCUGGAGAGGAGACUCAGGUUUACUGGGUCCAGCCCAAGACCCUCCGCCAGGAUCUGAAGUCAGUAGCCAGCCCGAAGGAGUCGGUAAAGGAGGGAGCUGGAAACUCGUUUUAAGGACCCGCCCCAUCCUUCGCCCUGCAGGAAACCCUGCGCUCCGGACGCCCCAGCCCCCACCAACCUCCCUCCUUCCUUGGCAUCCGGACGCGGCGAUCUCGGCUGCCAGUAGAGGGCACACUUACUUUACUUUCGCAAACACCAGAGCGGGUGCAGCCCGGGGAGGGGGCGGGAGGGAAAGACGCUUUGCAGCAAAACCUUGACUAGGGAUUGGCCGCUCUCCGCAUUUGCGGCAGAGGCCUGGAGGCCGGAGUAAUUUGCAGCCCUUAGAGCCGAACUGCGCUGUGCGCUUGAUUUGGAGGAAGUUACUACUCAUUUAACAAUUGAACGCUGAGCUGCAAACUCAACGGGUAAUAAUUUAUCUCAAACACGCUAUGCAAGCCCUCGUACCCACCCCUCUCCCCGAAUUUUCUUCUGUUUGGGAUUGGGGGGUUGGGGGGGGUGCGGAGAGGAAAAGUUUACUUAAAAUGCGUUGGGGUGAGGGACCAAGGUUGGGAAGAUUGCCUUUGUUUUUAAUGCCCCAGUGUAAUGCGUAAGAGCAAAUCCCGAGGGAAUAUGCAUUCUAUAUUAAAUAUAGAUUCACGUAGGGAGCGAAUAAAUCGUACGUCGUGUUGAGCAACA